CUGCCAUAAUUUGCUUGUAGAAAGCAGCGUUUUUUUUUGUGCUUUUGGCGGUUUUAAACGCCAUUACCUACUCCUGCUCCUGCUUCACUGGUAAAAAAAAUUUUUUAUUUCAUUAAUAAACAUUGUGAUAUUUAAUCAAACCUCCAUCGCAAUGUGAGAAACCAAGAAGAAACUCCAUGGCAACAUGAGAUCUGCAAUCUCAUCCGUGAGGCUCUCCUCUGGUGGCAAGCUCCUCCAUCAACGCUUUUCUUCCAGCUGCGAUCUCCUCCAUCAACGUUUCACUUCAAUUGAUGGAUCUGCCAUGUGAUUUUUCCUGCUCCACCGUGUUGUCCUCUGUGAAGCUUCUCCUUCUCCAUCUUCGUUGAAUUAGGUUUUGAUUUUCUUCCUUGUUAGCAGAAAUUGGGGGUGAUGAAGAUAAAUUGAUUUGGAACUAUUUAGAAGAUGGAAGCUACUUAAAUAAGAACCAGUUGAAGAUAGACAUCAUCUUUUCAUUCAUCUGAGCAUAAUAGAAUCAAAGCCAACGAAGCAUUGAAUUCUAAGUAUAAAGAGAUCAUGAAUUUUGUGGUAACACCAAGCUAAACAAAUUAUUUUCACUUUAAUAAGUGGAGGGAAUGAGAUUGAAGGAGAUGGAAGCCAACUUGACAUGGGAGUGCUCGAUUUCAACAAGGUCAAGGCUUCGGUGGGCAAAGGAAGGGAAGGAAAAAGCACCAAACACUUUGCAACUGAGAAACAAAGAGAGCAACUGAAUGGCAAAUACAAAAUCGUGAGGAGUGUUAUCCUAAACCCCAUAAAGGUCUUAACCAGAAUUCGACACUGCAGCUAUCACGUGGCUUUCCUGUGGGGAAAUCUCCUGGUUCUAAGCCUGGUGUUCCUGUGGUUGUCGAAAGAGUUAGGAUACAUGGACUGUCAAGGAUUAGAAACCUGAGUAAAUUUGCGCACUCCAUGAAAGUGAAGGUGUUGCCUACAGAUCCAAAUGUUUGCAUUCUGACAAACCCCAAUUUGACGGUUUAUCUUGUAUUGAAUUUAAGGGAUUUUAUCACCUUUUACCCACAUUUAUUCAAUGAAAUAGCAUGGUUUUGUAUAUUCUCCUUUAAUUGUGCUUAAGAGUGAAAACAUGCUUUUUAGGUCUUAAAAUAGCUAAAUUUAAUUCUCCUUGAUU
Arachis ipaensis is the source of this 1159-nucleotide non-coding RNA. NCBI's taxonomy places the organism in Eukaryota, Viridiplantae, Streptophyta, Magnoliopsida, Fabales, Fabaceae. The record is from RefSeq and is a predicted model, not a curated record.